UUUAAACCAGCGUUUGCGCCGCUGCCUCCGUUUGUCAGUGAGGAAGCGUCGUUACCGGAGAGUCUGGAUCGUGGAUAACACAUCCAAUAACAACAACAACAACAACAACAACAACAGUAAUAAUAAUACAUCCAUGGUCUGGAUGCUACAACAAACACCGGAGCUGCUUUUUGUCGAACACAAGAGAGACUGGACGUUGAACACAGCUGUGACGCGAAGGAUUCAAACUUUAACUAUUAAAGCACAGAGAGAAGAGACAGACGUGAAGACAUUUCCAGAAGAGUGAGAGGAGACUCAGCUGGGUUCAUCGUUUCCAACCCCCCCCCACCCCAAAUUCACUGAGGCCAGAGGAGGAGCAGCAGGAGGAGGAGGAGCAGGAGGAGGAGCCGCCAGUAAUGACUCACAUUAACAGAAUACCAGUGUCUGACUCCUUCUCUUCCUCUAACUCCUUUAAAUGUUCU
Long non-coding RNA from Lates calcarifer (barramundi perch), 461 nucleotides. RefSeq lists it as uncharacterized. NCBI's taxonomy places the organism in Eukaryota, Metazoa, Chordata, Actinopteri, Centropomidae. The record is from RefSeq and is a predicted model, not a curated record. The transcript has 3 exons.